GACGGAUCCAAGGAGUGUGUAUAAAUUGAGGGGAGGUGAGGAGUGAAAGGGAGAAAGAAAAGAAGACGUGAAGAAGAAGACAGAUGAAUCCCUGAUGAACUUCGAUGGGACCAAUGCUGGAACCUGGAUUGUGCACAAUGAACCCCUUAUUGUUGGAGGCCACAAAAUGACCUCUCUUCCUGCAUACACCAAUCCAACCUUCGUGCUUAAGAAUGGGACAUUUUUCCUUUGUGGACCACAACAGAGAGUCUGCAUCCAAAGCUCUUUACAAGCUCAGCAGAAAACUGUUGCCAGGGUCAGACAUGACUUCCACCUUGGACAGGAAUCCAGCCUCUUAACUGAUGUUUCACAUCUAAAGGUAAGAUCUAUUGGACUUCUGUUUACUGCACACUCACA
Long non-coding RNA from Athene cunicularia (burrowing owl), 396 nucleotides. RefSeq lists it as uncharacterized. The record is from RefSeq and is a predicted model, not a curated record. The transcript is spliced from 3 exons. Lineage: Eukaryota; Metazoa; Chordata; Aves; Strigiformes; Strigidae.